This 490-nucleotide ribosomal RNA is filed under the name uncultured bacterium. RNAcentral describes it as "partial 16S ribosomal RNA". It matches the Rfam family "Bacterial small subunit ribosomal RNA", at positions 30 to 507 of the family's 1533-position model. The record is from RNAcentral.
AUUGAACGCUGGCGGCAGGCCUAACACAUGCAAGUCGAACGGUAACAGGAAGCAGCUUGCUGCUUUGCUGACGAGUGGCGGACGGGUGAGUAAUGUCUGGGAAACUGCCUGAUGGAGGGGGAUAACUACUGGAAACGGUAGCUAAUACCGCAUAACGUCGCAAGCCCAAAGAGGGGGACCUUCGGGCCUCUUGCCAUCGGCUGUGCCCAGAUGGGAUUAGCUAGUAGGUGGGGUAACGGCUCACCUAGGCGACGAUCCCUAGCUGGUCUGAGAGGAUGACCAGCCACACUGGAACUGAGACACGGUCCAGACUCCUACGGGAGGCAGCAGUGGGGAAUAUUGCACAAUGGGCGCAAGCCUGAUGCAGCCAUGCCGCGUGUAUGAAGAAGGCCUUCGGGUUGUAAAGUACUUUCAGCGGGGAGGAAGGGAGUAAAGUUAAUACCUUGGCUCAUUGACGUUACCCGCAGAAGAAGCACCGGCUAACUCCGUG